AGGGGCCAGUGGCUUCAGCAGCAGCCGGGCGCGGGAGGCGGGGAGACGGUGUGCCCCGGCCAUUUUCAGCUAAGUUUGGAAUCUAACCUGGAGGGA
Otolemur garnettii (small-eared galago) is the source of this 96-nucleotide non-coding RNA. The record is from Rfam. Lineage: Eukaryota; Metazoa; Chordata; Mammalia; Primates; Galagidae.